UGGGGAAUAUUGGACAAUGGGCGCAAGCCUGAUCCAGCCAUGCCGCGUGAGUGAUGAAGGCCUUAGGGUUGUAAAGCUCUUUUACCCGAGAUGAUAAUGACAGUAUCGGGAGAAUAAGCUCCGGCUAACUCCGUGCCAGCAGCCGCGGUAAUACGGAGGGAGCUAGCGUUGUUCGGAAUUACUGGGCGUAAAGCGCACGUAGGCGGCGAUUUAAGUCAGAGGUGAAAGCCCGGGGCUCAACCCCGGAACUGCCUUUGAGACUGGAUUGCUUGAAUCCUGGAGAGGUGAGUGGAAUUCCGAGUGUAGAGGUGAAAUUCGUAGAUAUUCGGAAGAACACCAGUGGCGAAGGCGGCUCACUGGACAGGUAUUGACGCUGAGGUGCGAAAGCGUGGGGAGCAAACA
RNAcentral lists this ribosomal RNA (402 nucleotides) under uncultured Sphingobium sp. RNAcentral describes it as "bacterial SSU rRNA". It matches the Rfam family "Bacterial small subunit ribosomal RNA", at positions 355 to 774 of the family's 1533-position model. Lineage: Bacteria; Pseudomonadati; Pseudomonadota; Alphaproteobacteria; Sphingomonadales; Sphingobiaceae. The record is from RNAcentral.